RNAcentral lists this ribosomal RNA (449 nucleotides) under uncultured bacterium. Its description in RNAcentral is "bacterial SSU rRNA". It matches the Rfam family "Bacterial small subunit ribosomal RNA", at positions 328 to 794 of the family's 1533-position model. The record is from RNAcentral.
UGGCCAGACUCCUACGGGAGGCAGCAGUGGGGAAUAUUGCACAAUGGGGGGAACCCUGAUGCAGCAACGCCGCGUGGGUGAAGAAGUACUUCGGUAUGUAAAGCCCUGUCAGCAGGGAAGAAAAUGACGGUACCUGACCAAGAAGCCCCGGCUAACUACGUGCCAGCAGCCGCGGUAAUACGUAGGGGGCAAGCGUUAUCCGGAUUUACUGGGUGUAAAGGGAGCGUAGACGGCAAUGCAAGCCAGAUGUGAAAGCCCGGGGCUCAACCCCGGGACUGCAUUUGGAACUGUGUGGCUGGAGUGUCGGAGAGGCAGGCGGAAUUCCUAGUGUAGCGGUGAAAUGCGUAGAUAUUAGGAGGAACACCAGUGGCGAAGGCGGCCUGCUGGACGAUGACUGACGUUGAGGCUCGAAAGCGUGGGGAGCAAACAGGAUUAGAUACCCCGGUAUA